UUGUCGUUGAUACAAAUUAACACAUCAAAAUUAAAAUUUUAAAAUUAUUCUUGAUUAAAAUCACUCAGUUUAUUAUCAAAUUAAAAAAAAACAACACGCCUUUAGCAAGGUAACAGAAACACUUUAACAAUGUUUGUUGUACAACACGAUUAGAUAAAGGUAAAGUAAGUAGGUGUGAUCAAUCGGUUCAGUUUAACAGCAUUCAACAUCCAAUUUGAAAACAUGGCUUGUGGAUGCCUGUGCUGUCCUUUAUGGCUGCUUUUGUUGCUGACUGUGGCUUUCCCAAUUGCCUUUUUGAUGUCACCAAUUUACGUGAUCAUACUGACGUUCAGUGAAAUUUGCUGUGGAAACUGUGACAGCUGUGCCCAAUUUGUUCUCAAGUGCAUGAAACUGCCCGGCAUUUGUAUCCAUAAAAUGUAUCGAUGUGAAGGAUGUUAAUACGUAGAAUUUAAUUAAUAAAUUUAUAUUAAAAGAUAAUAUAA
Aethina tumida (small hive beetle) is the source of this 482-nucleotide long non-coding RNA. RefSeq lists it as uncharacterized. The record is from RefSeq and is a predicted model, not a curated record. NCBI's taxonomy places the organism in Eukaryota, Metazoa, Arthropoda, Insecta, Coleoptera, Nitidulidae. The transcript is spliced from 2 exons.